This 256-nucleotide long non-coding RNA is filed under the name Mytilus galloprovincialis (Mediterranean mussel). Lineage: Eukaryota; Metazoa; Mollusca; Bivalvia; Mytilida; Mytilidae. The record is from RNAcentral.
AGCCUUUUUUAGCUCACCUGACCUGAAAGGUCAAGUGAGCUUUUCUCAUCACUUGGCGUCCGUCGUCCGUCGUCCGUCGUCCGUAAACUUUUACAAAAAUCUUCUCCUCUGAAACUACUGGGCCAAAUUCUACCAAACUUGGCCACAAUCAUCCUUGGGAUAUCUAGUUUAAAAAAUGUGUGGCGUGACCCGUCAAACCAACCAAGAUGGCCGCCAUGGCUAAAAAUAGAACAUAGGGGUAAAAUGCAUUUUUUGG